AACGAACGCUGGCGGCAGGCUUAACACAUGCAAGUCGAGCGCCCCGCAAGGGGAGCGGCAGACGGGUGAGUAACGCGUGGGAAUCUACCCAACCCUACGGAAUAACGCAUGGAAACGUGUGCUAAUACCGUAUACGCCCUUUUGGGGAAAGAUUUAUCGGGGAUGGAUGAGCCCGCGUUGGAUUAGCUAGUUGGUGGGGUAAAGGCCUACCAAGGCGACGAUCCAUAGCUGGUCUGAGAGGAUGAUCAGCCACUUUGGGACUGAGACACGGCCCAAACUCCUACGGGAGGCAGCAGUGGGGAAUAUUGGACAAUGGGCGCAAGCCUGAUCCAGCCAUGCCGCGUGAGUGAUGAAGGCCCUAGGGUUGUAAAGCUCUUUCACCGGAGAAGAUAAUGACGGUAUCCGGAGAAGAAGCCCCGGCUAACUUCGUGCCAGCCGCCGCGGUAA
Molecule: ribosomal RNA, 447 nt
Filed under: uncultured bacterium
Lineage: Bacteria
Description: partial 16S ribosomal RNA
Rfam family: Bacterial small subunit ribosomal RNA
Source: RNAcentral